AGCGAACGCUGGCGGCAGGCUUAACACAUGCAAGUCGAGCGGGCAUCCUUGUGGUGUCAGCGGCAGACGGGUGAGUAACGCGUGGGAACGUGCCCUUCGGUUCGGAAUAACUCAGGGAAACUUGAGCUAAUACCGGAUACGUGCGAGAGCAGAAAGGUUUAUCUGCCGAAGGAUCGGCCCGCGUCUGAUUAGCUAGUUUGUGAGGUUAUGGCUCACCAAGGCGACGAUCAGUAGCUGGUCUGAGAGGAUGAUCAGCCACACUGGGACUGAGACACGGCCCAGACUCCUACGGGAGGCAGCAGUGGGGAAUAUUGGACAAUGGGGGCAACCCUGAUCCAGCCAUGCCGCGUGAGUGAUGACGGCCUUAGGGUUGUAAAGCUCUUUUCUCCGGGACGAUAAUGACGGUACCGGAGGAAUAAGCCCCGGCUAACUUCGUG
Molecule: ribosomal RNA, 437 nt
Filed under: uncultured bacterium
Lineage: Bacteria
Description: partial 16S ribosomal RNA
Rfam family: Bacterial small subunit ribosomal RNA
Source: RNAcentral